This 282-nucleotide unclassified non-coding RNA is filed under the name Basidiomycota sp. RNAcentral's name for it is "partial contains small subunit ribosomal RNA, internal transcribed spacer 1, and 5.8S ribosomal RNA". The stretch from base 1 to 47 matches the Rfam family "Eukaryotic small subunit ribosomal RNA", at positions 1785 to 1831 of the family's 1831-position model. Lineage: Eukaryota; Fungi; Basidiomycota. The record is from RNAcentral.
AAAGUCGUAACAAGGUUUCCGUAGGUGAACCUGCGGAAGGAUCAUUCAUAAAUUAGAGUCCCUUCUUGGGUCCCGCAAGGGAGCCAUGAAGGGAAUCAUUAAAGUACCAACAUGACAUGUUUUUGAAAGUGAGUUGAGGGAAAGUAUUGAGGGAACUUUUUUGAAUUGUUCCCUUUCAAAAUCCAACUUCUCCCUUUCAAGAACUAGAAACCAAAAAAAAGUAAUACUUUGAACUUCUCUGUUUAAUCAGUACAACUUUUAACAAUGGAUCUCUGGGCUCUC